CAUAGUUAAAAAGCUCCCAUUUUCAAACCAAAUCCAAACCCUAAACUGCGCCUCUCCCAAUUUCUUCUUCUUGGUACUCUUUGUUAGUUCGUCACAUGAUAGGCUCUUUUGUCUCGGUUUACUUAAGAUGGUAGAUUAAGAGAUGAUUCCAAGUUUAGGGUUCAUUGAACAAAGAAAGCGGCGGUGGUUUAGGGUUUUAGCAGAGCAAAAACAUAGAAAAGGAGGAAGUAGGUAGGCAUGGUGAAGCUCAUGGCAGACUUGAUUUGGAAGUGUCCUCACUUCUUCAAUGCCCUCAAGGAGCGAGAAUUGGAUCUUCGAGGUAACAAAAUUGCUGUAAUCGAAAACUUGGGUGCUACCGAGGACCAAUUCGAUACCAUAGAUAUUUAUCUGACAAUGAGAUUGUGAAGCUGGACAGUGUCCCUUAUCUUAAACGCUUGGGUACUUUACUUAUAAACAACAACCGAGUUACUCGUAUCAAUCCCAAUAUUGGGGAGUUCUUGCCAAGUUUACAUACGUUGGUUCUCACAAAUAACCGGCUGGUGAACUUAGUGAAGAUUGACCCUCUUUCAUCACUCCCUAAGCUCAGCAAGUGUAGGUUCACGUAAUGCUGUUAUGUGGUGACUGAUUGAGAAUUAGAUAAUCGAUGGAACACUAUUAGAUGUUAGAAUGAAACUUCUUACGUGCCAAACAUACAUGGAUAAAGAAGGUAUCAGGCAGCAGUAGUUGUUGGCAUUUAUCCCAAGACAUCACAAGCACUACAUUUUACCGAGUCCAGUCUACAUCUAAUGGAGCUGAUUCCACUCUAUCAAACCCCCUAUGAGAGGAGUCUGCUCAAAAUUCUUCAAUAUACUCUAACAAACAGAGCAUACAUCCACCACUUGCCUUUGGCCCAUCGCCUAACCUUGAAGCCCUUACAAUUGAAGCAGAUAAGUCUAAAGAUCAAGAUGGAGAUAGUUAUUUACUUGAUAGUUCACAUCUUUUCCGGUAUUUAACUAUUUAUUUAUGCCUUAACAUGUCCUUAGGUAAGGGCUGAUUGUUUAUACAAAAAUUUUGGUUAAGUUAGUGGUAGUUUGGUUUUUUUGGACUUGAUCAUCAUAUAUUUUUUGAAUAUUAUGUAUUGGAUCUUUAAAUCUUUUAUUAGAGUUAUCCUUCUAUAGCAGAGGCUUAAGUCUUUGUUUUGAACAGGUAAGUCCAUGGAACAAUUUUUUAUCCUUGUAGUCCAUGUUUUAUUUUGAUUUUUCUGUGAUUAAACUCUAGUACUCAGGGCAGUAGUUGUUGGGAUGUAAAAUCUAUUGUCUAUCUGCCUAAAUAUAUGACAAAAUGUAGAAGUACAUAUUGGAGAUACUCUCACAUGCACAUUCAUUCGUUUGAAACACAAUAUCUAGUUAUUUGUCUUUGAACUGAGUUAGAUUUUUACAUGCUUAUGUAGGAACACAUGCCCUAUGCCCUAUUUUCGUUUAAGGACCGCCAAGGAAAUUCUGAAACAGAAAGCUGAUUGAUCGGAUGUGUAUGCCGGCUUUCAUCAACUACUUUCGAAGGCCUUACUAGGAAUUGAAAUGGUGUGCAAAGAGAUUGCUUCUUCUGAUCUGAUUUUUCGAUAUAAAUACUGGACAAAGUAUGGAUAUUUCUUGUAAGUUGCAUUUACUACUGUUAGUAAAAUAGGAUUCGCUUCUUAGGAUCUUAGUUUCUUCACUUGUAUUAGACUCAACAAUGGCUUGCAUUGCAUUGGUGUUGAUUUUACCUAAAUUUCGAGGUUUACAAUUUUUAGUUUUUAUUAA
Molecule: RNA transcript, 1778 nt
Organism: Gossypium raimondii (Peruvian cotton)
Lineage: Eukaryota; Viridiplantae; Streptophyta; Magnoliopsida; Malvales; Malvaceae
Gene name: U2 small nuclear ribonucleoprotein A'-like
Exons: 8
Source: RefSeq, a predicted model, not a curated record